Mandrillus leucophaeus (drill) is the source of this 1477-nucleotide RNA transcript. It is a transcript of the gene named neugrin pseudogene, with no coding region annotated. NCBI's taxonomy places the organism in Eukaryota, Metazoa, Chordata, Mammalia, Primates, Cercopithecidae. The record is from RefSeq and is a predicted model, not a curated record. The transcript has a single exon.
UUGGCGCCGGGUGUCCUGCCGCUGCUUGCGCGGCGGCCCUCGUUUCCUCUUCCGGUUGUUAGUCGCGCAGCGUGAGGUGCUCAGCUCCCCAGGGACCACUGGUCCCUUCAUUAGUGACGUAUUUCAUCAUUAGUUUAGAGAGUUCGGCAUGCUUACAGGCAGUUAUUGUUCUAGGUGUUAACUUUCUGGGUGUACAGAGCAGCUCUAAGCCGGCAACACGGCCCGGUUGCCCUUGCGAUCAAAGAGAAGAGGGCUGGGCGCUCCAUGAUUUAGCCUGAGGCUCUUCAAACAUCCAUUCUGCUUCCACGCAUGGCUUGUGCCAUUGGUUCUCUUCCCUCAGCACCCUGAAAGGACAGAAAAAAGCAAUCCGAUUCCAGAAAAUUCAGAGAGGCAAAUGGAGGCGCCUGGUGCCCCGCCUAGAACCCUGACUCGGGAAGCCAUGGAGCAGAUCCGGUAUUUACGUGCGGAAUUUCCAGAGUCCUGGUCAGUUCCCAGGUUGGCUGAAGGCUUUAAUGUCAGCACUGAUGUGAUCCGAAGAGUUUUAAAAAGCAAGUUUGUACCCACAUUGGAGCAGAAGCUGAAGCAGGAUCCAAAAGUCCUUCUUAAGAAAGCUGGGCUUGCCCACUCUCUCCAGCAGCUCCGGGGCGCUGGAAAUACCUCAAAGCUGCUCCCUGCAGGCCACUCUGUAUCAGGCUCUUUGCUUAUGCCAGGGCAUGAAGCCUCAUCCAAAGACGCGAAUCACAGCACAGCUUUGAAAGUGAUAGAGUCAGACACUCUACAGGACAAAUAUACCAAGGAGAUGGAAGGGAAGAAAUAAAGAAAUCCAGCACCUGGAGGAGAGCUUUGUGCCUGUUGCUGUACCCCUAGGUCAUCCAAGAGAGCUACAGAAGUACUCCAGUGAUUCUGAGAGCACCAGAAGAACUGGCAGUGGUGCAUUGCCAAGUGAUCAGAAGCUGGAGGAGUUGAAGGCAGAGGAGCCGGGUAACUUCAGCAGCAAAGUAGUGCAGAGGGGCCGAGAGUUAUUUGACAGCAAUGGGAACUUCCUGUACACAAUUUGAGUCGGGGCUUGGUUUGUGGAGAUGCCUUGUGAAACACAGCUGGGCAAGGAAUAUAUAUGGAAUAGCCUGGAUUUCUACCUAUGGAGAAGCCACCUUGGAAUAGGAAGAAGUGUUGAGCCUGGACUGUGGGAGGAAAAAACUGCGUGGAUAGAUUCAGACUUCCUGUAGUAGUGCCCCCAAUCUGACCUCUGUUGAUCUUCAGUACUCACUCUUCUUGCUUGGACACUCUGUAUGUUGAAAACCAGCCAUGUUGCAUGUGUUGUUACAAUUUUCUGUGAUACUUGCAAUUUAUAGUUGAGAGGAAGUGAAAAGUUUGCCUUCUGACCUCAUUUCCUUCUUGAUCAGUGAACACUAACAUUUUUGGGACAACUUAGUCAAUUGUUUUCCUUACAAGCAAAAUAAAGUAAAAUGUAGCAGUC